This 482-nucleotide ribosomal RNA is filed under the name uncultured bacterium. RNAcentral describes it as "partial 16S ribosomal RNA". It matches the Rfam family "Bacterial small subunit ribosomal RNA", at positions 28 to 523 of the family's 1533-position model. The record is from RNAcentral.
GACGAACGCUGGCGGCGCGCCUAACACAUGCAAGUCGAACGAGCGAGAGAGAGCUUGCUUUCUCGAGCGAGUGGCGAACGGGUGAGUAACGCGUGAGGAACCUGCCUCAAAGAGGGGGACAACAGUUGGAAACGACUGCUAAUACCGCAUAAGCCCACGGUGCCGCAUGGCACAGAGGGAAAAGGAGCAAUCCGCUUUGAGAUGGCCUCGCGUCCGAUUAGCUAGUUGGUGAGGUAAUGGCCCACCAAGGCGACGAUCGGUAGCCGGACUGAGAGGUUGAACGGCCACAGUGGGACUGGGAAACGGCCCAGACUCCUACGGGAGGCAGCAGUGGGGAAUAUUGCACAAUGGGGGAAACCUUGAUGCAGCGACGCCGCGUGGAGGAAGAAGGUCUUCGGAUUGUAAACUCCUGUUGUUGAGGAAGAUAAUGACGGUACUCAACAAGGAAGUGACGGCUAACUACGUGCCAGCCGCCGCGGUAA